AUGGAGACCGACUGUCUAGAGGCAGUUAACCUCUGGAAUUCUCGCUAUAACGGUCGCUCGGUGAUAGCACCUAUCCUGUUAGAAAUUGGAGAGCUAGCUCCUAGCUUUAUUUCUUUUUCUAUUCAACAUGUAAUAAGAACAGCAAACGGUCCUGCACAUCUCUGUGCUAAGCGUGGUUUGACGCUUACAGUGACUAAGAGCUGGAUAGACUCUACUCCUAGCUUCCUGAUCAGUAGCCUAUUGGCGGACUGUUCAGCGAAUGCUUUCGUUGAAUAA
This 276-nucleotide ribosomal RNA is filed under the name Triticum aestivum (bread wheat). RNAcentral's name for it is "partial small subunit ribosomal RNA". The record is from RNAcentral. Lineage: Eukaryota; Viridiplantae; Streptophyta; Magnoliopsida; Poales; Poaceae.